GCGGAAACGAUGCAGACGCUGCACGGAAAAAUCAAGAAAACGUCAUCUAAAAUAAUGCUUUGAACUUUAGGAUUGUGGCACAUAAUUAUGGAGUACGGUUUAACUUACUGGAGAGGAUCCUUGAAGAAUCACCAUGAAAAGUUUUGCAACAGUUCACGGACCUCUGACAGAUGAUACUCCAUAGUUAAUUGCUAGUUUAACAAGGACAGUGGUUCUAGCUAGGAGUUCUAGCUAGGAGUUGAAGUUUGGCACCAGAAAUGACCAAAAGUUCCAUUUAUGGAUGUGAAGUCAAAAUGAAGGAUUGUUUGGAAAAAGAACAAAAGACAGUUUUGUAAGGUUUACGCUACCUGCCUUGACUGUUAGGCCUGCCAGAGCUCAAGCCAUUAACCACCAAGGUUGCUGAAAAAGUCGCAUCAUACUAUUUCUUGUUUAAAGCUAUUCACUCAGAGACGUACAGAAACUUAUGAUCUUAUUUUUAGAAAGAUGUUGUUGCAUGAUGUGUUAGAACAUAGACUAGAGCAAACAAGAGAAGCUUUUGAAGAUAGGUUAAUAUCUUCUCUAUUGCAAUAUCAGAUCUGUUGCAUCCUUAGAUCUGCUGCCACAUGAAAGACAAUGCCACAUGAAAUAUGCUUCAACAUUAGAUCUACUCUAAUGCCAUGCAAAAUUUACUGCCACCAAAUAGACUACCAAGUGAGAUCCACUGCCACAUGGAAUAUGCAAGCAAGUGAGAUCCACUGCCACAUGGAAUAUACUAGCAAGUGAGAUCCACUGCUACAUGGAAUAUACUAGCAAGUGAGAUCCACUGCCACAUGGAAUAUACUACCAAGUGAGAUCCACUGCCACAUGGAAUAUACUUCCAAGUGAGAUCCGCUGCUACAUGGAAUAUACUAGCAGGUGAGAUCCACUGCCACAUAGAAUAUGCAAGCAAGUGAGAUCCACUGCCACAUGGAAUAUACUACCAAGUGAGAUCCACUGCCACAUGGAAUAUACUACCAAGUGAGAUCCACUGCCACAUGGAAUAUGCUACCAUGUAAGAUCUACUGUAAUGUCACGAGAGAUCUA
Long non-coding RNA from Mercenaria mercenaria, 1062 nucleotides. RefSeq lists it as uncharacterized. The record is from RefSeq and is a predicted model, not a curated record. The transcript has 5 exons. NCBI's taxonomy places the organism in Eukaryota, Metazoa, Mollusca, Bivalvia, Venerida, Veneridae.